GGACCCGCACAAGCGGUGGAGCAUGUGGUUUAAUUCGAAGAUACGCGAAGAACCUUACCAAGGCUUGACAUGUUAGGAAUCUUGUAGAAAUAUGAGAGUGCUAGCUUGCUAGAACCUAAACACAGGUGCUGCAUGGCCGUCGUCAGCUCGUGUCGUGAGAUGUUGGGUUAAGUCCCGCAACGAGCGCAACCCUCGUCCUUAGUUGCCAGCGGUUCGGCCGGGAACUCUAAGGAGACUGCCUGCGUAAGCGGGAGGAAGGUGGGGAUGAUGUCAGGUCAUCACGGCCCUUAUGCCUUGGGCAACACACGUGCUACAAUGGGACGUACAAAGAGUCGCAAUACCGCGAGGUGGAGCCAAUCUUAAAAACGUCUCUCAGUUCGGAUUGUAGUCUGCAACUCGACUACAUGAAGUCGGAAUCGCUAGUAAUCGUAGAUCAGCUAUGCUACGGUGAAUACGUUCCCGGGUCUU
This 468-nucleotide ribosomal RNA is filed under the name uncultured bacterium. RNAcentral's name for it is "bacterial SSU rRNA". It matches the Rfam family "Bacterial small subunit ribosomal RNA", at positions 917 to 1382 of the family's 1533-position model. The record is from RNAcentral.